GGGGGAACCCUAUUCAGGGAAAUAAAUAGAAAUAAAUGGUGCUCCUUUCUUAAAAGGUCACUUUUCUUCAAGGCUUUCACAAUGACUCAGCAUGCUCCACAGAUUGCUUGAAGCAGGCCUCCUAAUUUGACCAGUCCACCCAGGAGCAGCUUGUCUAAACCUCAGACAUCAGGAGAAGAGGCCUGUGGGACCCUUUCUCUCGAUUCUGAAGUGAUGGGAAAACAUGUUUACAUGACAGCUGGUCACAGGGCCAGUCUCCUCAGCAACAGCUCCCAGUCCUUAAACUCUGGACAGAGAUGGAAACCCACAGCUGAGCCUGCUGCAUUCCAGUCUACAGGAGGGGCACCCACAGGAAGGCCCACUGCCCGUUGCUGGGCCAGUGGGCUGCACUCUGUGGGCAGUACAGCAGUGUGGCACCAGCGAAGCCCUCAUACCCAAGGAAUCCAUGCAGUAGCAGACUCAAGAACUUGGUGCCACUAACGAGACUUUACGCCGAUGAGGACCACAAUGAGGACUACGAUGAUGACAACCAGUAUCAAGAUCACGAGCAUCUUCCGGUUCUUCUUUUGGUACUGCUCUGCCUACAAAAGAGGAGGGAAGGUGUCAUUUUCCCCAAAGACAGGACACAAGCCUGGCUUCUGCAGGAUGGGCUUACAUCCGCAGCACAGGACAGGCCUCAUGAUUAGACCUUCCUUCAGUGUGAACCACCAAGACCCUGAGCCAUGUCCCUGCACCCAGGACAAAUGUGCAUUGUCUUUCUUCCCUGUACAGGAAAGGGUGACCAGAAAGCAUGGAACCAGUGGCCCCAAAAGGCCCUGUCUCUACUUCCUCUGAACCUGGAAACAGAAUACCUCAUUGUCUGAGGAAGAAAUGGCCGUAUGUGCCCAUCUGUGUUGGUUUAAGAGCCACCUGAGGACCAACCCUGCCCUUACCCUAGGACCGAUGGCACAUAGAAGAGCUCCCAAAGCCCCAUCUGCACACCUCCCCCUACAUGCAGCACCCAGAAGCUCUGCUCACCUGUGCCCACCUUCUCCUACAGAAGCACAGGGGAGCCAGCUCCCCAUCAAUAUGUGGUGGUACAGAAACACUGACUUACUCACAUGGCUGGGGACUGACACAGACCCUCAAAUGACAGCGAGCAGGAAGAGAUUGGGAGCUUAGCAUCCCACCACCCACCCAGAAAAGCCCCUCCUCACCUAAAAACAGGACAGGAGACCACACGGAGAACUGGCCAAUGGGAGCAGCUCCCAAGUCCCAGCUGCCUCCCCAUGGUGUGGGCUGAGGACAGCCCCAUUCUUCAGGGCAACCCCAAGAACCAAGGAGCCAAUGCAGACCACAUACUGAGAAAACUCUCCAAUAACGUCAGACCAAAAGAAAAGCUUGCCUCAGACCCAGUCCCUCCCAUGGAGAAGAUGUCUCUCCCCCUGUGUCUGCAUCACAACACAAACCACGUUUCCUAGGUAUGACUUAGGAAACUCCAGGACUGAUAGGCAAUUCAGCAGCACCUCCAACCCACUACAGAACAGGAAGCUCAGGGAGCUUCAGCUUGUGAGACACGGGCUGGCGCCUCCAUUACUCUAAAGACCUACUAAGCAAGACUUGUCCCUAGUUUGUGAGGGCAGCACAGGGACGGCAAAGCCGCUGUGCUUAGACCCUGCAACCUGGAACCAUGAGGAGAUAGAUGGGGGGGUUUCUGCUUUCAAAAGAAGAACAUGACUUGGGAAAAUGCUCAACCUAUGGCCAGAGGUACCAACUGGUAUCAAUGACAGGGAAGCAGACAGGAUUGAUUUGACCUGUUAGCAGAGCCGGCUGCAUUCCCUUCACAGGAGGCAUGUGUCCAACCACACACAUGACGCUCGUGUUCAUGAGCCCAUUUCUCAUAACUGAUUAUAGGAUUUCUAAAAUGAUUUCCAUCGACUUCUUAAAAAGAAAUUUAACAAACAUGCAAACCCCAUGAAAGAGCACAACCCUUGUCACCAAGAGCACAACCCACCUCACUUCUACAAUUCUUGAGAGUGAAACAGGAAGGGAUAAUUCGAUUUUUACCUUGUUGACAGUCCUCUACCAGCAAGUCAUCAGAAGUGAACCCCAGCACCCUAAGUUAGCGGCAACAAGAGAUGGCCUCUCAGCCCACACCCAGAGAAGCCAAUCAACUGACUUCUAACAAAACUCAGACAGAUAAAAAGCAGAAAGAAAACCCCAGCCCACAGAAGGAUCCCAGCCAUGCUGACCUCUCAGUGAGGCCUGCCUGACAACCAGACUACAGCAUGAUAGCAAGCCUCAUAGCUGCUCCCAUUUAUACCCCUUUGUGUCUUGGGUUGAGGACGUGUGACAAAAGAGAACCUCCUAGGAAUUCCCAAGAUUUGAUAACAGUUCCUAAAGACCCAACACAGAGAACAUUGGUACCUUGUGAAGCUGUUUCAAGCCAUCUUCGGUCUUGACACAGGACUGUUCAACAUUAUAGUCAAUUCUGUCAAGGACUGUACCCUGAGUAAUAAGAGACAGUACAGAUGGUCAAUAAUUACAGCUAGGGAGAUUGAGGGUCAAGCCCUGAGACAUGCGUAUCACAGACCUCGGGACUCAUUCCAGAGCAGUGUCCAACCCCAAGCAGUGCGGGGUACUCUGCAGAGUGCGGUGGUGUCAGCCGAGCAACAACAGCAUGGGUCUCAGCGGCUGAUCACUUCUGUAGCUAGGCCACCUUCAGAUGUAUUAGGGCUGGGAAACCCAUCACAGGAGUGGGCUCUGGGAAGCCAAGGGCCAUGGCUUUCCACUUCUUGCUGCUUAAAUACUGGGAUCUGGCAGAUGGAGAAUACCAACUAGGUUCUACCACCAUGGCCAGGCUGCUCCAAUCACUGUCUAAAAUGACAACUUGGACCUCAAGGACAGGUUAUUAAUCAGUCUCUUCCUGGUUCCUACAGGAAGCACGGAGAAAAGAUGGCAAUUCACUGGGAAACAAUGGCAGUUCAUCAGCUGGCUCUGAUGGUGCCUCAACGCUCUACACUCUGUAGCUGGUUUCAGGGGACCAGGACCCAAACAAAUCCCUGCUGGCAAGAUAAUAAAAACGCCCUAAUCAGAUUGUA
Long non-coding RNA from Peromyscus eremicus (cactus mouse), 3080 nucleotides. RefSeq lists it as uncharacterized. Lineage: Eukaryota; Metazoa; Chordata; Mammalia; Rodentia; Cricetidae. The transcript has 2 exons. The record is from RefSeq and is a predicted model, not a curated record.